Molecule: ribosomal RNA, 278 nt
Filed under: Pratylenchus jaehni
Lineage: Eukaryota; Metazoa; Nematoda; Chromadorea; Rhabditida; Pratylenchidae
Description: partial 28S ribosomal RNA
Rfam family: Eukaryotic large subunit ribosomal RNA
Source: RNAcentral
ACCAAGGAGUUUAUCGUGUGCGCGAGUCAUUGGGCGUUGAAAACCCAAAGGCGCAAUGAAAGUGAACGUUUCCAUAUCGGAGCCGACGUGCGAUCCUGGUCACCGCGGUGGCCAGGCGCAGCAUGGCCCCAUCCCGACUGCUUGCAGUGGGGUGGAGGAAGAGCGUACGCGAUGAGACCCGAAAGAUGGUGAACUAUUCCUGAGCAGGACGAAGCCAGAGGAAACUCUGGUGGAAGUCCGAAGCGAUUCUGACGUGCAAAUCGAUCGUCUGACUUGGG